GAUGAACGCUAGCGGCAGGCUUAAUACAUGCAAGUCGAGGGGCAGCAGCUCUGUAGCAAUACAGAGGCUGGCGACCGGCAAACGGGUGCGGAACACGUACGCAACCUACCCAAACUGAGGAAUAGCCCGGGGAAACCCGGAUUAAUACUUCGUAACAUAAUUGAAUGGCAUCAUUUAAUUAUUAUAGCUCCGGCGGUUUUGGAUGGCGUGCGCCUGAUUAGGUAGUUGGAGGGUUAACGGCCUACCAAGCCAACGAUCAGUAACUGGUGUGAGAGCACGACCAGUCACACGGGCACUGAGACACGGGCCCGACUCCUACGGGAGGCAGCAGUAGGGAAUAUUGGUCAAUGGACGCAAGUCUGAACCAGCCAUGCCG
RNAcentral lists this ribosomal RNA (376 nucleotides) under uncultured bacterium. Its description in RNAcentral is "bacterial SSU rRNA". It matches the Rfam family "Bacterial small subunit ribosomal RNA", at positions 28 to 399 of the family's 1533-position model. The record is from RNAcentral.